AAAAAUGUAACACAGAAGCAGUGGUUGAACGCAGCAGUUACAAGAUUCACACGAAGGGUUGAAGGAAUUCUCGAUAUUCAUCAGGUUAGCCGCUUGAUAAAUUAUUAAUAGUGUUAUUUUUGUAGGCAUGAGGAGGUAAUUGUAGUAAUGAAUAUGGUGUUAAGUAGUGCUGGUGGUGUUAAGCAGUUGUUAAUUGGAAUCGGGUAAUAAAAGAACCAAUUACUUAAGAAUGGGAAAGUGAUAAUGGCCAAUAGAAUUGGCCAAUUACGGGCAAGACUUUGGUAAGCCAUUUAUGGCAGGACUUUAAUAAGCCAUUUAUGGCAGCUUUAAUAAGCCAUUUAGGGCAUUGGAAUGCGAAUAAGUCCAAUUACAGCAUAUGUUGUAGGGAUCCGUACAACGAUUAUGUUUUUCUUAUUAUUUAAUUAUUAUUUUUCUCUUUCCUUUUUUUUUUUUGUAAUUUACUUCAUAUAUUGAAAAGAUUGUGGUUUAGGUCUAGAAUUUUUAGAGUAAGAAUAUAUAAAUUGGGGUUAUUAGAUUCAUAUUUUUAUACGAAUUAUAUUUUUUGAACAGAUUUGGACUUUUCAAAAGCUUUACGAAAGGGCAAGAACUUGGCAAAUUAGCUUGCGUUUGAAUUCUUCGGUUGAGGUAGGUUAUGGUUUAAUUGGAGUUUAGAUUCGACUUAAUUGCGUGUAUACUCCUAAAUUGGAUACUUGUUGAUUGGUAUUUGAACAUGCUUGAAAAUAUUGAUGUUUGAAUUAUUGAUGCGUGUAUAAAUGAUUAUUGAAAAUUUACUUGAUAAAAUUGUCUUAUGACUUUAAGUAUACUUGUAAACUUGAUACAUUGUGUUGUAUGAGGUUGUGUAAAUGUGAUAUUGAUAAUACUUGUUUAUGUUGGAUCGGGUACCACGCCGAUACGGAUAUGUAUAUGUUGGAUUGGGUACCACGCCGGUACGGAUAUGUAUAUGUUGGAUCGGGUACCACGCCGGUACGGAUAUGUAUAUGUUGGAUCGGGUACCACGCCGAUACGGAUAUGUAUAUAUUGGAUCGGGUACCACGCCGGUAUAGAUAUGUGUAUAUGUUGAAUCGGGUACCACGCCGGUACAGUACAUGAACAUAUAUUGUUCCCUGCAGGUCAUGACUAUUUGGGCAAAAAUAAGUCCACUAGCAUGUGUGUACAUAUUGUGUUGAUUCUGUGGAUGUUUAUAGUAUGGUUGAUACUCUUGAUGGUUAUGUAACUUGUUUGUGAGCACUGGUUGACCUGUUAUUGUUGUUGUAUUAUUGAUUAAUUGAAUAUUUGUUAUGUGACGAUGCCUAUCUACUUGUUAUUUGAUUUAUGUUGUGUACAUGCUAUUAAAUUGAGUUGGCCUAUCAUACCUACCAGUACAUAGUGGUUUGUACUGAUACUACCAUGUAUUCUUCUUUUAUUGAGUGCAGAAAGUGUUCUAGAGGCUCAGACAUGACCUACCUCUAGAGUUUGAUAGCAGAUCUUGAUCCAAGGGUGAGCACUCCGUCUCCAGGCUACCAUGGGUUAUCUUAUUUAUUUU
Molecule: long non-coding RNA, 1543 nt
Filed under: Capsicum annuum
Lineage: Eukaryota; Viridiplantae; Streptophyta; Magnoliopsida; Solanales; Solanaceae
Description: long non-coding RNA (CANN_LNC001986)
Source: RNAcentral